RNAcentral lists this long non-coding RNA (1874 nucleotides) under Homo sapiens (human). Its description in RNAcentral is "HSALNT0399272". The record is from RNAcentral. Lineage: Eukaryota; Metazoa; Chordata; Mammalia; Primates; Hominidae.
UCACUGGACCUGCUACUGUUGAGCCAAGUCCUUGGUUUCUAUUACCUGCUCAACUCCUUCUGUGCAUAGCUCCUGACUGCCGAGCUGGGAAGAACUCCAGUCCUUUCCUAGGCUAGGGAUUUUAACAACGGAACAAAAUCCCAGUGCUCUUCAAGGUGACAAGGGGAACCACUAAGGUUUCACAAGGCACAGUUUGUGAACAACUGAUUGGAGCCAGCCUCAUCAGGCUAGAUGUACCUAUAGCAACCAGCAUGGAUCUCAAAAACAUAGUACCAAACGAAAUAAGACAGACUGAGAUUCCGGGGGUACACAUGCAUGUUUGUUACAUGGGUAUAUUGUGCAAUGGUAGAGAUUGGACUUCUAGUAUGCAUGUCACCUGAAUAUUGAACAUUGUAUCCAGCAGGAGAUGUCCCUGAGGAACCCUGGUAUCUGAGAAAUCCUACCUGGAAACUUCUGGCCUAUGAAAUCCAAACAGCCAAUCAAGGUGCUCAUUUGCUUCAAGAUCAUGGUCUCCGGAGAGGCAAAUUGCCAUGUACAGUUCCAUCUGGUAUCUCUGCUGGGCUGCUCACCUGGUCCACCCUUCAAGAUGGCAUUGGUCUAAACUUCCCACCAAACUAUCUAGUCUCACUCAGCUACUCGUACUCCCAGUCAGCCUAGUCCCAAGGGACCAUGAAGGGACCAUGCCUUCCUCUUGACCCUAAUGUCCCUUGUAUUUGUCAGACACCCUCCCAGAGGGCAGGGAACAGACUCUGGGGAGCCCUGAAACCAGAGAAACCCAGGACAAGCUAUUUCCAACUCAGAAUGUUCUGGCCACCCACCCAGGCUUUGUCUGAUUUCUGAUGUUCUUUAGAAUCUUCUCAUUACAUCACUAAGAAAAGCAUGAUUAAGUCCAUACACACACACACACACACACACGCACACACACAUACAUAUAAAAGAUAAAUGUGUAUCUUUAAUAACUUUUAUUAUGUUUUCUGAUUACAAAAGUAAUAUAUUGCCACAAUAUUAGAAGAACUGUAUCGAAUACAGAAAAUUAUAAAAAAUAAAAAAGAUAAAGUAUAAGGCCUCCACACAGAGAUAGGCAUUAUUAAUUCUUUGGUAUAGUCCCUUUGAAUAUUUUUAUAUGAAUACAUUCACAUUUGUUCAUACAAUUUAGAUUAUAAUUCUAUAACUAUAGGUUACAUGUCAUUGAAAAAUUCUUCAAGAACAAAAUUUUGAAUAACUCAAUUAUAUUUCUUCGAUUGGGGUAUACUUGUUCAAUAAACAAUAACUCACAUUUAUUGAGCACUUACUAUGUGCAGGCCUUGUAUUUGGUGUUUGGUGUUGAUUUAUUAACAAACAGGAGUUUACACUCAGGGAGCUAACAGUCUAUAGUAUACGGUAUAUUUUUAACAAAUGAACAUGAGAACAAAGCUACAAUUACAAAUUAUGCUAGAUUUAAUCAUAGGAAAGAAUAGAAUUCUAUGAGAAAGCUUAGCACAACUAACUUUGGGGAUACAGGAAAAGUCUCUCUGAGGAAGUCGUAUUUCAUUUGGGACCCAAAAGAUAAGUAUAAGUUAAAGUGUGGGGGAGAGGAAGAAUAAUUCAGACUGUGUUAGAUUUUGCGGCAUUAAUUCUGCAUCACAAUCAUAAGCAGUCUCAGUGGCUUGCAAUACCAUUUACUGUUCUCACUCAGUCUCGGAUUUGGCUGGAGUCUGGGUGAUCUCGGCUGGACUCAGCUGGGCUCAGCAUCAGGCUGCAGGUUGGUUUUGAGUUAGCUCCAGUGUCCCACUCAGAGCCAAAAAGCUACAGGAACACGAUCUCUCAUGGUGGAUGACAGAAGUGGAAGAGGCCAAGACAAACAUCCCAAACACAUCUAAAGCCUCUGCUAGCAU